ACCCGUGACAGUAGUUUACAACCCUAGGGCCUUCGUCCUACACGCGGCGUCGCUCCGUCAGACUUUCGUCCAUUGCGGAAGAUUCUCG
Molecule: ribosomal RNA, 88 nt
Filed under: uncultured bacterium
Lineage: Bacteria
Description: partial 16S ribosomal RNA
Source: RNAcentral